RNAcentral lists this ribosomal RNA (497 nucleotides) under uncultured bacterium. RNAcentral describes it as "partial 16S ribosomal RNA". It matches the Rfam family "Bacterial small subunit ribosomal RNA", at positions 28 to 507 of the family's 1533-position model. The record is from RNAcentral.
GACGAACGCUGGCGGCGUGCCUAAUACAUGCAAGUUGAGCGCUGAAGGUUGGUACUUGUACCGACUGGAUGAGCAGCGAACGGGUGAGUAACGCGUGGGGAACCUGCCUUUGAGCGGGGGACAACAUUUGGAAACGAAUGCUAAUACCGCAUAAAAACUUUAAACACAAGUUUUAAGUUUGAAAGAUGCAAUUGCAUCACUCAAAGAUGAUCCCGCGUUGUAUUAGCUAGUUGGUGAGGUAAAGGCUCACCAAGGCGAUGAUACAUAGCCGACCUGAGAGGGUGAUCGGCCACCUUGGGACUGAGACACGGCCCAAACUCCUACGGGAGGCAGCAGUAGGGAAUCUUCGGCAAUGGACGAAAGUCUGACCGAGCAACGCCGCGUGAGUGAAGAAGGUUUUCGGAUCGUAAAACUCUGUUGGUAGAGAAGAACGUUGGUGAGAGUGGAAAGCUCAUCAAGUGACGGUAACUACCCAGAAAGGGACGGCUAACUACGUG